ACUAUGCAAUUGUGAACAAAC
Molecule: microRNA, 21 nt
Filed under: Brassica rapa (field mustard)
Lineage: Eukaryota; Viridiplantae; Streptophyta; Magnoliopsida; Brassicales; Brassicaceae
Description: bra-miR9562-5p
Source: miRBase by way of RNAcentral